RNAcentral lists this ribosomal RNA (491 nucleotides) under uncultured bacterium. RNAcentral describes it as "partial 16S ribosomal RNA". It matches the Rfam family "Bacterial small subunit ribosomal RNA", at positions 29 to 506 of the family's 1533-position model. The record is from RNAcentral.
AGUGAACGCUGGCGGUAGGCCUAACACAUGCAAGUCGAACGGCAGCACAGUAAGAGCUUGCUCUUACGGGUGGCGAGUGGCGGACGGGUGAGGAAUACAUCGGAAUCUACUUUUUCGUGGGGGAUAACGUAGGGAAACUUACGCUAAUACCGCAUACGACCUACGGGUGAAAGCAGGGGAUCUUCGGACCUUGCGCGAUUGAAUGAGCCGAUGUCGGAUUAGCUAGUUGGCGGGGUAAAGGCCCACCAAGGCGACGAUCCGUAGCUGGUCUGAGAGGAUGAGCAGCCACAAUGGAACUGAGACACGGGCCAGAACCCGAGGGGAGGCAGGAGGGGGGAAGAUGGACAAAUGGGCGAAAGCCUGAUCCAGCCAAACCGGGGGGGUGAAGAAGGCCUUGGGGUUGUAAAGCCUUUUUGUGGGGAAAAAAAAGCAGCAGGUUAAAACCCCGCUGUUCUGAAGGUACCCAAAGAAUAAGCACCGGCUAACUUCGG